Molecule: unclassified non-coding RNA, 316 nt
Filed under: uncultured fungus
Lineage: Eukaryota; Fungi
Description: sequence contains 5.8S rRNA gene
Source: RNAcentral
GAACGCACCUUGCGCCCUUUGGCCAUUCCGAAGGGCAUGCCUGUUUGAGUAUCAUGAACACCUCAACUCUCAUGGCUUGCCAUGAUGAGCUUGGACUUUGGGGGUCUUGUCGGCCUGCGGUCGGCUCCUCUCAAAUGGAUCAGCUUGCCAGUGUUUGGUGGCGUCACAGGUGUGAUAACUAUCUGCGCUUGUGGUUUCCCAUCAGAUAACCUUCAGCGAUGGAGGUUCACUGGAGCUUACAAAUGUCUCUCCUCUGUGAGGACAGCCCUUUGAAUGUUUGAUCUCAAAUCAGGUAGGACUACCCGCUGAACUUAAG